ACGAACGCUGGCGGCGUGCUUAACACAUGCAAGUCGCACGGAAAGGCCCUGCUUGCAGGGUACUCGAGUGGCGAACGGGUGAGUAACACGUGGGUGAUCUGCCCUGCACUUCGGGAUAAGCCUGGGAAACUGGGUCUAAUACCGGAUAGGAGCCAUUUUUAGUGUGAUGGUUGGAAAGUUUUUUCGGUGUAGGAUGAGCUCGCGGCCUAUCAGCUUGUUGGUGGGGUAAUGGCCUACCAAGGCGGCGACGGGUAGCCGGCCUGAGAGGGUGGACGGCCACAUUGGGACUGAGAUACGGCCCAGACUCCUACGGGAGGCAGCAGUGGGGAAUAUUGCACAAUGGGCGCAAGCCUGAUGCAGCGACGCCGCGUGGGGGAUGACGGCCUUCGGGUUGUAAACUCCUCUCGCUAGGGACGAAGCUUUUUGUGACGGUACCUAGAUAAGAAGCACCGGCUAACUACGUG
RNAcentral lists this ribosomal RNA (464 nucleotides) under uncultured bacterium. Its description in RNAcentral is "partial 16S ribosomal RNA". It matches the Rfam family "Bacterial small subunit ribosomal RNA", at positions 29 to 507 of the family's 1533-position model. The record is from RNAcentral.